RNAcentral lists this ribosomal RNA (254 nucleotides) under uncultured bacterium. Its description in RNAcentral is "partial 16S ribosomal RNA". It matches the Rfam family "Bacterial small subunit ribosomal RNA", at positions 524 to 776 of the family's 1533-position model. The record is from RNAcentral.
UACGUAGGGUGCGAGCGUUGUCCGGAAUUAUUGGGCGUAAAGAGCUUGUAGGCGGUCUGUCGCGUCUGCUGUGAAAAUCCGGGGCUCAACCCCGGACUUGCAGUGGGUACGGGCAGACUAGAGUGUGGUAGGGGAGACUGGAAUUCCUGGUGUAGCGGUGAAAUGCGCAGAUAUCAGGAGGAACACCGGUGGCGAAGGCGGGUCUCUGGGCCGUAACUGACGCUGAGGAGCGAAAGCGUGGGGGAGCGAACAGG